Molecule: long non-coding RNA, 3780 nt
Organism: Zingiber officinale
Lineage: Eukaryota; Viridiplantae; Streptophyta; Magnoliopsida; Zingiberales; Zingiberaceae
Exons: 3
Source: RefSeq, a predicted model, not a curated record
GCUGGUAAAUUUGGUUGGGCCGCCUGUGGAUGAUUCUGCCUCGCCAAUGGCUGAGAAAUUUUUUCAGUUAGGUCGUGUGCGUAUUUUUCCUGUCGCUCAAUCUUCAUUCAAAACCGAUGCUUCUGGGGGCCAAGUAUUAAUAUAUUGACUGGUGAAGAUGAUCUUAGUUUUUGGGAGGUUAUGAGCUUUCCUUAAUCAGGAUUCUCGAAGGGUCUAUAAGAAGAAUCGAGUUGGGCCAGUUGAUGGAUGGAGCAAGCAUUUCAUUGUCGAGCUUACAAGACUACAAGGUAUGCAACUUUUCAAGCCGUAUGCAAAGAGCAAGAUAGGAAAUUAAGGAAAAACAAAAAGAGCUUGCUAGCCAUAACCAUGUGUGUUGCAUCAGAUCAUCUCAAGAAGGUCAAGUCCAUAGCUACUUGAUUUGAAAGAGAUGCCCAAACUUGUGCAAACUAAUCUAUCUAGAUAAUGGAAUAUGACUAUUUUGAGGUAAAAGGUUGCUAAUCAUACCCUAUGUGAUUGGAAAUCUUAGAUUGAAAGAUUAAUGCUCAAUACUAGCUCCUCCCAUGAAUUUUGUAUCAAAAGAUCCUUAAAACAUAAUUCGAGGUCAAAUGUCUCACCCAAAUAUUGGCUCAAUCGACCUCCUAGUGAGUUAUUAAUCUUAUUGUGUAUAGUAUGUCCAAAUCAAACUUGGUCUGUGAAUGGACCUUUAGAGAUGCCUAUUGAAUGAGUUAAGGUGACUGCCCACUCCCUACUCCACCAAGGUUCAAUAUGGAAAUAGAUCAUCAGGAGGAUACUCGUAUGCCAAUGUCAUCUAUUUUGGUCUUGCGCUACUAUGGAGUUCGCAACAAACAAUGGCUACUAUAGCCGCACACUUUCUUUUUCUCCCUCUUUUAUAUCAUAGCAAUUUAGUCAUAGACAACGCCCUAUAUUUUUCAGUCAUAUAUUUAUCGAUGGUUCCUCUUCCCCUCCUUGGGCAUAGAGGUCUUCAAAUCCUACUCCUUAGAGAUAGUGCUUUUGUAGCUUUGGUCAAGGCCAUUUUGCUAAGCACCAACAACUUUUGUGUUUUUCUUGACUUCAUUCAACUCAUUAAGCAAAUCAUUGUCUCAAAGAGUUGUAGAGGGCACUUUUGAAGGUGUUUUGGUCUUCUUGUUUCUUGCUAUAAUGCUAUCACUUCAACAAUGAAAGCAUGUCUUUAUAAUUUGAAUCAUGACUAUAAGUUAGAAUCGAUAGGAUAUGUAUUGGAAGCUAGAGGGGGUGAAUGGCAUUUGAUUUGAAAUUAAGAUCUUUAACUCUCACUAAUACUUUGCAAGGUCACACAAUUGAAUUAGUAUAAUGGAAAUAUAAAUCAUAAACAAACAAGUGCUAAUACAUAGGAUUUACAUGAUUUGGAACCACCGUUUUCUACUCCAUAACCUAUAAUUCUUGAAGUGGGUUACUCCUGAAUCAUACUAACUUUUUUCUUUUGGGAGGUGGAGAAACCUCUUACAAAAAUCUUACAAGAAUGAGUAUAAGUAAGACAACUAUAAUGAUAGAACUACAAUUGAAACAAUGAGAGCACAAGGAAGUAGGAACUUAAGCUUAGUUAACCAUUGAUUUGACAGUCUUGCAAAGCUCCGCUUGGUCCUCUAUCUAUAGCAUCCAAGUAGUCUUCAAAUAAUAUUUACUUCAUGUUCUAUAGCACCUCAAUUAACUCAACCAUUUCAGUUUCUAUUUUCACAAUCGCUUCAACUUUCUACUUGGCAACAAAUCUCUCAAUCGACUUACCCUAAUUUCAAUCUACUACUUUGCUUGGUAACAACUCCUUUAGUCUACUCACUCUGAUUUCAAUUGAUUGAACCACUUUAUCGUGUAAGGCAUCGACAGCCACAACUUUCCUUUGCCUAAUCAAUGAUCAUAUUUUUUACUCUUAUUAGGGAUUUAGUUGGUUGCCUAGCUGACUCCACUCUGAUUUUUUUUUUUUCAUGAGAAGAUCCUUAAGUUGACUCCAUAAUCAACUCAUCACAUCACUCGACUAAGAUCAACCUCCAAUUGUCUAAAACGUUUAAAUACGACCAAAUUAUUGGUUGAGUCAUCAUUAAAGUAAAGAACUGCCUUAAUUCAAAUUAUAAGUACAGUUGACUCUCACAACUAACUUAAGAGUACUUGUUGCAAUUUUACUUUGCCCAUUAGGUCAUCACCCAUCAAAUUGUCAGUCUUUUGGAUGCAUUGAGCCCUCUUCUUUCUACAUAUCAUUCUUAACUUGUUCACCUAUGUAGUUUGCUUUUUUGGCUCCAUCAAAGCUGUCAACUCAAUUGUCCUUGUCCUGCUCUACAAUCCUUCUUUGAUGUUUAAUGGACCUUUGAGUUAUUGGGUCAACACCAACUUGGUCGCACUAGUCAAACUUUGCGAGCUUCAUGUACAUUCUACCAAAAAUCUAUACAAUAUCAUGCAAACAUUAGAAUCACAGGCGAAUUUAACUUAAAUCCUUUGACUAACACAUCAAAACAUUUUGGUCGAGCAUGAUCACGUAGGGCAUGAUUAUUUUAUACAUUAUAUUCUCUCUUAUACUUGCAUGUCUCCUUUUUCCUUGUUCAAUAUGAGGACCCUUUACUAUUUAUAUUGUCAUUCCCAUUUGAUCUACCUUCAAUGAUGUUGUGGCUAUCCCUAUGGAGGACUACAAAAUAUUUACUAUAAGAUAUUGGUUAUUUGCUUACUUUGUCUUCUCGUUAAUGAACUCCUAAAAUUUGAGGUUUCUUUGUUGAACAUAACUACUUUUUGGGUCUCUAGGUGGAGCUAGGUGAGGUUCCAUUGGGGGAGGGAGUACCUUCAUUAGGACUUGUCUAAUUAGGCUUUCAUUGUUUUGCUGAUAAGUUGAUGUCUUCCAUCAUCUAAUGGGAAGAUGGUGCACACUUUUUUUAAUGAGAAAUUCCUUCAGUGCUUAGUUUUAUCUAUAUUGUCAUUGAUGAUAUCUUUUUUGUUGUUGUUGAAGUUAAGCAACCAUUGUGAAUCUAUUGUCUUUCUCUACCUUCUUUUAGUUUAUUCUCACUUGGGGAAGCCAAUAAUGAUUCUCCAAAGAACUCUCUAAUCAACAUCUCUGCUAGCAAACUUUGGGUGGUUCUUUUUUAUGCCUUCUUUGAGCUCUUUGUCGCAUAAUAAGGAGCUAAUAAUUACUCCAUAUAUGAACUACCAUGUUGGUAAGAUCUUGGAUAAGGUUCAGACAACUAUUUUACAGUGUUCUAAAAAUCGGCCUAGGCGGGUCCACUUAGGCGCUAGGCGCCAACCAGCCGCACUGAAAAUAUGUUAGUCGGCUAGCCUAGGUGGCCUUGGCGCCUAGGCGGGAUUAGACAGGCCUAGGCGUCGACUAAUUGGUUGAAUUGUAUAAGCACGACGGAAAUAGUGUAGGGUUUUCAUGAUUUUUUUUAGUUUGAGCUUUUAAAUUUAAAGUCCAAUUAUAAAAAAAAAAGAAAUAUAAUAUUUUUUUUUGUAUUGGGCUUAAAUUUUAUCUUGCCCUAGCGGUUAGCACUAAACUUCAUUUUUAUCAUACUGAGUAAUCAGAGUUGGAGAAAUUAGAGUAAAUGAAGAAGCCCACAUUUAUGAGAAAUCAAAGAGUUAAAAGGUGGGAGAAAUCUAUUUGAAGAAAAAUUUAUUGUCUGAUAUUUUCUUAACUGAGCGACUUGAAAGCGAUUAAAUUGAAGGUUUGGCUAAAGCCUCAUCCUUUGGAAAUAUCAUUUCAUCAGACAACCUCGAAGAAGCUCUAGAGUGAGGGAACUUCACGAGGAUGAUUUUACAUCUGAAGAAAAAGAA